RNAcentral lists this ribosomal RNA (497 nucleotides) under uncultured bacterium. Its description in RNAcentral is "partial 16S ribosomal RNA". It matches the Rfam family "Bacterial small subunit ribosomal RNA", at positions 28 to 507 of the family's 1533-position model. The record is from RNAcentral.
GAUGAACGCUGGCGGCGUGCCUAAUACAUGCAAGUCGAGCGAACGGACGAGAAGCUUGCUUCUCUGAUGUUAGCGGCGGACGGGCGAGUAACACGUGGAUAACCUACCUAUAAGACUGGGAUAACUUCGGGAAACCGGUGCUAAUACCGGAUAAUAUGUUGAACCGCAUGGUUCAAAAGUGAAAGACGGUCUUGCUGUCACUUAUAGAUGGAUCCGCGCUGCAUUAGCUAGUUGGUAAGGUAACGGCUUACCAAGGCAACGAUGCAUAGCCGACCUGAGAGGAUGAUCAGCCACACUGGAACUGAGACACGGUCCAGACUCCUACGGGAGGCAGCAGUAGGGAAUCUUCCGCAAUGGGCGAAAGCCUGACGGAGCAAUGCCGCGUGAGUGAUGAAGGUCUUCGGAUCGUAAAACUCUGUUAUUAGGGAAGAACAUAUGUGUGAGUAACUGUGCACGUCUUGACGGUACCUAAUCAGAAAGCCACGGCUAACUACGUG